AAAAAAACAAGCCGUAGGUUUCCAUGUCCAACGUUUGACUGUCCGUCUUAUAUGAAAUUUUUUAUAAUUAGUAUGUUUAUUGAUGUUAGAUGAUAAAACAUGAUUAAUACUUUAUGCGUGACUUGUCUUUUUUAAUUUUUUUAAAUAAGACGGACGGUCAAACAUUGGAUAUAGAAAUCAGGGUUUAUCUUUUU
Molecule: non-coding RNA, 194 nt
Organism: Oryza glaberrima (African rice)
Lineage: Eukaryota; Viridiplantae; Streptophyta; Magnoliopsida; Poales; Poaceae
Source: Rfam